UACGAAGGGGGCUAGCGUUGCUCGGAAUCACUGGGCGUAAAGCGCACGUAGGCGGCUUUUUAAGUCAGGGGUGAAAUCCUGGAGCUCAACUCCAGAACUGCCUUUGAUACUGAGAAGCUUGAGUUCGGGAGAGGUGAGUGGAACUGCGAGUGUAGAGGUGAAAUUCGUAGAUAUUCGCAAGAACACCAGUGGCGAAGGCGGCUCACUGGCCCGAUACUGACGCUGAGGUGCGAAAGUGCGGGGAGCAAACAGG
Molecule: ribosomal RNA, 253 nt
Filed under: uncultured bacterium
Lineage: Bacteria
Description: partial 16S ribosomal RNA
Rfam family: Bacterial small subunit ribosomal RNA
Source: RNAcentral